AGUGAACGCUGGCGGCAGGCCUAACACAUGCAAGUCGAGCGGCAGCGCGGGGGCAACCCUGGCGGCGAGCGGCGGACGGGUGAGGAAUUCGUCGGAAUCUGCCUUUUUGUGGGGGAUAACGUAGGGAAACUUACGCUAAUACCGCAUACGUCCUACGGGAGAAAGUGGGGGACCGCAAGGCCUCACGCAGAAAGAUGAGCCGACGACCGAUUAGCUAGUUGGUGGGGUAAAGGCCCACCAAGGCGACGAUCGGUAGCUGGUCUGAGAGGAUGAUCGGCCACACUGGGACUGAGACACGGCCCAGACUCCUACGGGAGGCAGCAGUGGGGAAUAUUGGACAAUGGGCGCAAGCCUGAUCCAGCCAUGCCGCGUGUGUGAAGAAGGCCUUCGGGUUGUAAAGCACUUUUGUCCGGAAAGAAAUCCCUGGAGCUAAUACCUUCGGGGGAUGACGGUACCGGAAGAAUAAGCACCGGCUAACUUCGUG
RNAcentral lists this ribosomal RNA (484 nucleotides) under uncultured bacterium. Its description in RNAcentral is "partial 16S ribosomal RNA". It matches the Rfam family "Bacterial small subunit ribosomal RNA", at positions 29 to 507 of the family's 1533-position model. The record is from RNAcentral.